CCCUAUGAGUGAAUAAAUAAAGCAUGAGGCACUCUGAUCCCACAGAGUGACAGAUGUCAUGUCUGUCUGGUGGACGGACGGCUCCACUGGACCUGUGUAGCUGAGAUAUAAUAUACUGAGUGUGAACAUUCUCAAAACUGUAUUGUAUAUAGUUUAUUUUUUUAUUGUGUAAAUUUAAUUUUUGUAAAACUAAGGUUCCACAUGUCACUGUUGAAGUGGGGCAUUAAUCAGUGUGACACCACUUGUAAACAUGCUGCAUGUGUGGGGGUUCCCAGCCAGAGCUGCAUGGACUCCACACUGGGAUGAGGAGAGACCUGCUGUUGCUGUGUGACACUGAUUUUGCUGCUGCACUUUGUCUUUUAGGUAUGUGUAUAUGUAUAGGUUUUGGUUUAUGUGUAUGAGUUCAUGAUCUGAGGCUGCACACUGAAUAAUAUUUUCAGCCAUGUUGGGAAAAGUUACAGUUGUUUGAAUAUGUAUUGUGUAAUUGAUCCAUCUUAGUGGGGAUUUAAAUAUUACAAGUUAUUAUUAGUGGCUUAUUUUUGACUAAACCUUGCUUCAUAUUUCUCUCUGUUUUACCCCACUAUAACAUUUGAUUUUAAAGUGGCUGUUGAGGGAAACCACACCAUUGUUUUGAUAGAUUGUAUUUUCUUUUAUAUAUUGUGAGCCAGAGCUCCAUGGACUCCACACUGGGAUGAGGAGAGACCUGCUGUUGCUGUGUGACACUGAUUUUGCUGCUGCACUGUCUUUUAGAAAUAAAUCCAGUUUCCAGCCA
Long non-coding RNA from Oreochromis niloticus (Nile tilapia), 772 nucleotides. RefSeq lists it as uncharacterized. The record is from RefSeq and is a predicted model, not a curated record. NCBI's taxonomy places the organism in Eukaryota, Metazoa, Chordata, Actinopteri, Cichliformes, Cichlidae. The transcript is spliced from 2 exons.